Gallus gallus (chicken) is the source of this 339-nucleotide long non-coding RNA. NCBI's taxonomy places the organism in Eukaryota, Metazoa, Chordata, Aves, Galliformes, Phasianidae. The record is from Ensembl.
CGGCCCCGGCGGGGGAAAGGCGGCGCGGCAGCAGCAGACGCAGCACCCGCCGCCGGCCCUGCAGAGACCCUGGGAGAAGCUGCGCCUGGAGGAGCGCGAGGCGGAGAAGGAGGCGAGGAAAGUCAGCAAGAGCAUCGACCGGGCGCUCAAAGAGCAGAAGCGGGAGUACAAGCAGACGCACCGCCUGCUGCUACUGGUUUUAUGGCAUAUGUCAUUGAAAGUAUUUCAGAGGAACUGAGCAGUUUUAUCUUCCACCAACUUCACCUGGAGUCAAAUGGUCAACACUGAAGAAGACUUAUGCACACAAGUGUUACGUUUCAUACUCAGAAUACAUCAAUU